GUUUGCUGCCGGAAUGUGAAUAAGCUGGAGCUACAGCUUUUUCCUUGGGUUUCCUGAGUUUGGGAAUGGCAGGGCUUUCCAGAGUUUCUUGUGCAUGGAGGUCACUGGUCAGGAGGGAAACACAGCUGAGCCUCUGAGGGGAGAAGUGGCUACUGACAACCGAGAACUGCAACUGUACAUGCUCUGGACGGUCCGAUCACCCAUCAGACGGUCCAGGCCGAGCGCCCUGGAGGUUGGAGCUUGCACAAGAGAUUACCGGACCGACAGUUCCACGGUUUAAUCAGAUCACCGAGUUCUAAAGUCAACAUCGAUGUAAGGCUGCAAUUAAUGAGAGGAGAUUCUUCUAUGCUUGUUUCUCAGAUCUCCAGGCAGAGAUGGCCUCAGGAUGAGUAAUCUAUUCAUGGAGCCGCAGCACGGUUAGUGCUCCACCACGCAGGAUCCAAUAUCCUAGACCUCAGGGCUCCAUCAAACGGCGUGUGAAAACGCUAACUAAAGUCCAAGUGGGAUUGCCAAGGACGAAGACGGUACACUUGGUGGUACUAGCUUACAGCCAUGUGAUUGCGGUGAAAAAACAAAAACUUUUUUACUUGUGACGAGGAGAUUGAUGACGCCAUGACUAGAGGAAGAAGAAGCACCUGUUAUGUUUGUUUUUUCA
Molecule: long non-coding RNA, 655 nt
Organism: Panicum hallii
Lineage: Eukaryota; Viridiplantae; Streptophyta; Magnoliopsida; Poales; Poaceae
Exons: 2
Source: RefSeq, a predicted model, not a curated record